GACGAACGCUGGCGGCGUGCUUAACACAUGCAAGUCGAGCGAUGAAACUUCCUUCGGGAAGUGGAUUAGCGGCGGACGGGUGAGUAACACGUGAGUAACCUGCCUCAAAGAGGGGGAUAGCCUUCCGAAAGGAAGAUUAAUACCGCAUAAUAUACAGAGAUCACAUGUUCUCUGUAUCAAAGGAGCAAUCCGCUUUGAGAUGGACUCGCGGCGC
This 214-nucleotide ribosomal RNA is filed under the name uncultured bacterium. RNAcentral describes it as "partial 16S ribosomal RNA". It matches the Rfam family "Bacterial small subunit ribosomal RNA", at positions 28 to 239 of the family's 1533-position model. The record is from RNAcentral.